Molecule: non-coding RNA, 425 nt
Organism: Ceratotherium simum simum (southern white rhinoceros)
Lineage: Eukaryota; Metazoa; Chordata; Mammalia; Perissodactyla; Rhinocerotidae
Source: RefSeq, a predicted model, not a curated record
GCGGGUCAGGGUCUCUUCAUAGCCUGCAGGGCGGGGUAGUAGAAGCUGUUGGCUAGGAGUGGGCUUGGGUAGUGGGCUCCAAAGCUGGCUCCAAGGACUAGUCUUGGCCCAAUCUGGCAUCUGGGGACUUCAGGCACAGCAUUCACUGACAGUUGGUGAGAGGCUAAGGUACAGACUCACUGUGGGGGUUGGGUAGGUCCUAGGAGGAGGGGAGGUCCUGGCAAGAGUCCUGACUGGGCUCAAACUCAUCUCAGCACACACAGUUGAUGGCUCAGCAGUCAAGGCCCCUUGGGCACCCACAGUUCCACCUCUGAGGACAAAGCCUGCACCCAGGCCUGGAGCAGGGCAGGGGGCAGGCCAGGGGCCUGACAGUCCAUAGCCUGAUCCAGAUAGAAACCACCAAGCCCAGCUUGGAAUCAGCGGUC